RNAcentral lists this unclassified non-coding RNA (376 nucleotides) under soil metagenome. RNAcentral's name for it is "partial contains 5.8S ribosomal RNA, internal transcribed spacer 2, and large subunit ribosomal RNA". The stretch from base 1 to 120 matches the Rfam family "5.8S ribosomal RNA", at positions 35 to 154 of the family's 154-position model. The record is from RNAcentral.
GAUGAAGAACGUAGCGAAAUGCGAUAAGUAAUGUGAAUUGCAGAAUUCAGUGAAUCAUCGAAUCUUUGAACGCAUCUUGCGCUCCUUGGUAUUCUGAGGAGCAUGCCUGUUUGAGUGUCAUUAAAUUCUCAACUACACUGACUUUGAAUUGGUGUGGCUUGGAUUUGGGGGGAAAAUUGUUGUGGGCUUUUUGUAUAGUCUGCUCCCCUGAAAUUGAUUAGCGGUACCUUUGUGGAACUGUCUACAGGUGUGAUAAUUAUCUACAUCUUAGACAUCUGCUGGAAUGCUGCUUUCUAAACCUUACUUGUAUUGACAAUCUUGACCUCAAAUCAGGUAGGACUACCCGCUGAACUUAAGCAUAUCAAUAAGCGAAGGA